RNAcentral lists this ribosomal RNA (254 nucleotides) under uncultured bacterium. Its description in RNAcentral is "partial 16S ribosomal RNA". It matches the Rfam family "Bacterial small subunit ribosomal RNA", at positions 524 to 776 of the family's 1533-position model. The record is from RNAcentral.
UACGUAGGGUGCAAGCGUUGUCCGGAAUUAUUGGGCGUAAAGAGCUCGUAGGCGGUGUGUCGCGUCGGCCGUGAAAACCUGGGGCUUAACUCUGGGCGUGCGGUCGAUACGGGCAUCACUGGAGUUCGGCAGGGGAGACUGGAAUUCCUGGUGUAGCGGUGAAAUGCGCAGAUAUCAGGAGGAACACCGGUGGCGAAGGCGGGUCUCUGGGCAGUAACUGACGCUGAGGAGCGAAAGCGUGGGGAGCGAACAGG